This 349-nucleotide ribosomal RNA is filed under the name uncultured Glomus. RNAcentral describes it as "eukaryotic LSU rRNA". Lineage: Eukaryota; Fungi; Glomeromycota; Glomeromycetes; Glomerales; Glomeraceae. The record is from RNAcentral.
CAGUGGUACCCGGCGGGAAAUCCAACCCUUUGGGGUGGGAUCAUGUUGGGUGCUGAGGGAGCCUUUAACCGCCUUCUUCGCUUCGCGGGUUUGGUGCUCGGUUGGGUGUAACUUAAUUCGCCAUGGGUAGGGUUAACAUUCAAAUUUUCGGUCGUCAUAAAAAUGACGGGGAGGGAAUGUAGCUUCGAUCUCGUAUUAAAAGUGUUUAUAGCCUCUGGUAGAUGUGAUGAUCGGGAUUGAGGAUUGCAACGAACCCUCUGGCCACUCGUCUGUCUUCUGGUGGUCGCUCUGGUGCCGAAAGCUGCUUACGGUCGUCAGAGUUUGGUGCCAAAAGGUAGAACGGGAUGAU